CAGGCCUAACACAUGCAAGUCGAGCGCGCCUUCGGGUGAGCGGCGGACGGGUUAGUAACGCGUGGGAACGUGCCCUUCUCUACGGAAUAGCCUCUGGAAACGGAGAGUAAUACCGUAUACGCCCUUUGGGGGAAAGAUUUAUCGGAGAAGGAUCGGCCCGCGUUAGAUUAGGUAGUUGGUGGGGUAACGGCCUACCAAGCCUACGAUCUAUAGCUGGUUUUAGGGGAUGAUCAGCAACACUGGGACUGAGACACGGCCCAGACUCCUACGGGAGGCAGCAGUGGGGAAUCUUAGACAAUGGGCGCAAGCCUGAUCUAGCCAUGCCGCGUGAGUGAAGAAGGCCUUAGGGUCGUAAAACUCUUUCGCCAGAGAUGAUAAUGACAGUAUCUGGUAAAGAAACCCCGGCUAACUCCGUGCCAGCAGCCGCGGUAAUACGGAGGGGGUUAGCGUUGUUCGGAAUUACUGGGCGUAAAGCGCACGUAGGCGGACUGGAAAGUUGGGGGUGAAAUCCCGGGGCUCAACCUCGGAACUGCCUCCAAAACUAUCAGUCUAGAGUUCGAGAGAGGUGAGUGGAAUUCCAAGUGUAGAGGUGAAAUUCGUAGAUAUUUGGAGGAACACCAGUGGCGAAGGCGGCUCACUGGCUCGAUACUGACGCUGAGGUGCGAAAGUGUGGGGAGCAAACAGGAUUAGAUACCCUGGUAGUCCACACCGUAAACGAUGAAUGCCAGUCGUCGGCAAGUAUACUUGUCGGUGACACACCUAACGGAUUAAGCAUUCCGCCUGGGGAGUACGGUCGCAAGAUUAAAACUCAAAGGAAUUGACGGGGGCCCGCACAAGCGGUGGAGCAUGUGGUUUAAUUCGAAGC
RNAcentral lists this ribosomal RNA (865 nucleotides) under uncultured marine bacterium. RNAcentral describes it as "bacterial SSU rRNA". It matches the Rfam family "Bacterial small subunit ribosomal RNA", at positions 43 to 957 of the family's 1533-position model. The record is from RNAcentral.